CUAUGAUGGUGCUGACAUCAUGUCUUGAAAUUUAAUGGAGUCAAACAGAAAUAAGAAUUAAAUUUCUACGUUCAAUUUUUACUCAUUAUAUGGUUUAUAGAGUAAAUCUUUUGGUUGCAGAUAUGUGCAAAAUGUUUAAAUAAGCACUACUACAGAUGCAUAUUUGAAGCAAUGUGUCAAGACACAACAAAAGCUGAAGAUUAUUACAAAUUCAAAAUAUAUUAUAAAAUCUUAGAUUCAUUUAAACAAAAUUUAAGAAGGCAAUUUUCCAUAGAGAAUAUGCUUCUAACUGUUGAGGUUGAUAAAUUUAUUGAACUAAAUUAUGGUUUACCAGGUUUAAACAUUUACCAAGAUAGCUUUAAAUCAGAAAUGAUGGUGGCUAAAAACUGCCUUGCUAACCUAGAAAAAGAGAUUGAAGAUUUCAAAAUGAAUAAUACCCUUUAAGUAUUGAUUAAUUCUUAUAAAAUGCUCCAAUUUGUUAAGACAUUUCCAGUUAGUUUUGCUACAUUCAAGAGAAGUUUCUAAGCAAUGAAAAAAAUAAAAAUGAAAUAGUAAAAAUAUGCAAUGUGUUACAAUAUUUCAUACAUAAAUUUGUAGUAAGAGGUGUGGAGGCAAAGGCUAUAUGACUGUCUGCAGCUGAAAAUUUAAGCUUUCCUAAUAUUUAAUAAGAUCUCCGCUUAUGAACAGUCAUGCACUAGGAAUAUUAAAUAUGACAUCAUUUAUGAUUUAGUAACUGAUUAAUUUAUGAAAAAAAAGGGAUUAAAUUCUUUUGGUAACGUUAUUGUAAAAUACAAUGUAUGCAAAAAGUUUAUUUUGUGUAUUAGAUUUUUUACUAUUUUAAACUUUUAUUCAUAUUUGCCCCAUUACAUAUAUCACAAUAAGUUGGGUAUGCUUAAUGCAGAGAAUGACGAACAAUCAAAGUUCCACUGUUUCUAGAAAAUAAAAUGAAAACUAAAGUAAUAACUAUCCUUUAUUGAUACAUGUUAUGUCUAUUAGGUAUGGAUUUAAAAAUGUAUAUUCAAUAUUAUUUUAAUAGAUUUUUGCAAACCAGGAUGGUACCCAAAA
Long non-coding RNA from Daktulosphaira vitifoliae (grape phylloxera), 1065 nucleotides. RefSeq lists it as uncharacterized. The transcript has 3 exons. The record is from RefSeq and is a predicted model, not a curated record. NCBI's taxonomy places the organism in Eukaryota, Metazoa, Arthropoda, Insecta, Hemiptera, Phylloxeridae.